GGUGCAAUAUUCUCUCAAUUUUAACGUUCACAUUUGGAAAAAUUUAGGGCACUUUUGUUAUUUUUCAAAACUCUUGAAUGCAUUGGAUUUCCAUAAAAGCACGAGGAUGUUUUUGUCAUCCAAUCCACACAAUUACAAGUCCAAAGCCAAAGAUCGUAGAAAAGAUUCCGGAGCAUCUCCUCAGGUUUAGGACGCAAACAAAAAAUCAAAUUGCAGAAUUUCCAAGUUGUGAGCACUGCAAUAGCAAAUGGAAACAGAGUUAGAGAGGACGAAACCGGUAGCUGCCUUCAUGGCCUUCGGCACCCAGGGCGAUGUUUACCCUAUUGCUGCAAUAGCUGCCGCUUUUGCUUCUGACCAGAAACACUACCAUGUUGUCCUUAUCACUCAUUCAGCUCACCAGAACUUGAGUUCUCACUUGGCUGGAAAACUAGUUGCAUUUUGUCCAAUUUCAUCACCACCCGUGGUAUCAACACCUCAGAAUCAUGAUGCAACAGGCUUGCAGGAGUUGAUGUUUAGGCUGAAGAAGAGGAAAAUCAACGCUGAACAUAGAAAAGAAUGCUAUUCUGCAGUGGAAAGAAUUUUUGGAAAUGGUCCAAGCUUGGAGGGUGAUUUCAUUGUGAUAAACUUUUUCGCAUUGGAGGGAUGGAGCCUUGCAGAACUUUUUCGUGUCCGUUGCAUAAUUGCCUCGCCUUAUGUUGUUCCCUAUAGUGCACCUUCAUCAUUUGAACACUGCUUCUUAAAAGAACAUCCGCUUUUGUAUAAAUAUCUCCAGGAAGCUCCCGUCAACAAGGUUUGUUGGAAAGAUGUGAUUCAUUGGAUGUGGCCACUUUUUUCUGAAAAUUGGGGGUUGUGGAGAAGUGAGGAAUUGAAUUUGAGUCCUUGCCCUUUUACGGAUCCAGUGACAGGCCUUCCCACGUGGUAUGAUCGGGUACCAUCUCCUAAACUAUUGUAUGGAUUUAGCAAAGAAGUUGUUGAGUGCCCUGAUUACUGGCCUUCAAGUGUUUGUGUUUGUGGCUUUUGGUUCCUCCCUGUUGAAUGGCAAUUUUCAUGUAAGAAGUGUGAAGAAAUUUCCAUUUUGUCAUCUGGGCAUCUGAGAACAAAUUGGAAAAUGUGUGCAUCUCAUUGUGAGUUUCAAUCUUUUCUGGAAGUUCCUAAAUCAGUGCAGAUUAUUUUUGUAGGACUAAGCUCUAUUGGAAGCAUGGGUUUCUUAAAGAAUCCUCAAGCAUUUCUUCUGGUUCUCCGAACUGUUCUGGAAACCGCAAGUUACAGAUUUAUCCUUUUCACAGCAGGAUAUGAACCUUUAGAUGCAGCAAUUCAAGGCAUUGCUGCUGGAACAUCUUCAGUUUUAAAUCAAAGGCAGGUCGUUGAAGAUGGAGUCUCUCUCUUUGAUGGAACACUCUUCUGCUUUUCUGGUAUGGUACCAUACAAUUGUCUGUUUCCAAGAUGUGUGGCUGCAAUUCAUCACGGAGGAAGUGGAUCCACUGCUGCCGCACUGUACGCAGGAAUCCCUCAGAUACUAUGUCCGUUCAUGUUGGAUCAGUUCUAUUGGGCUGAGAGGAUGUCUUGGCUUGGAGUGGCUCCAGAACCGCUGAAAAGGCACCUCUUGGUUCCAGAUAGCGUAUAUGACAGCGCCAUCAAAGCAGCUGCAGAAUUGCUAUCAGAAGCCAUUCGAUAUGCACUGUCUCCGGAAGUCAAAGCAUGUGCAAAAGAAAUUGCUGAAAGAAUAUCUGUUGAGGUCACUGCUUGUUAUUACUAUAAUAUCAUCUGUCCACUGCUGUAUUAGUAGUAAAGCAUUUGCUGCAUUUGCUUUCUAAUAGUUUUUAUUUCUGUUUCAUUGCAUCACUUGCGACUGGAUAUCUGAGAUGGAAUGAGUGAAGCAGUAAAAUUUCUCAAGGAAGAGAUGGGGUUGUAGUUACAACAAAGGAAUGUCAGCUUGUACAAAUUAUUCCAAUUUCUUCAAGGUAAUGUUAAAAUUUUAUUUUCUACUCCAGCAUGUGGGAUAGCCAAACUGAAGAAUUUAAACUCAUGGACAAGGACGGAUCUUCACUGCUUCGUCUCAAAAGUAGAUUUCUGUCUUAGUUGUCAAAACUUGUAGAUAAAUGCCCUACUGCUUCACUGUGAACAUUGCCACAAGAACCACUUUCCAUACAAUUGUUUCUUAAUAUCUUAAAGUCAUUUAAUAUUUCAUGGA
RNA transcript from Mangifera indica (mango), 2191 nucleotides. It is a transcript of the gene named sterol 3-beta-glucosyltransferase UGT80B1, with no coding region annotated. NCBI's taxonomy places the organism in Eukaryota, Viridiplantae, Streptophyta, Magnoliopsida, Sapindales, Anacardiaceae. The record is from RefSeq and is a predicted model, not a curated record. The transcript is spliced from 16 exons.